UGGGGAAUAUUGGACAAUGGGCGGAAGCCUGAUCCAGCAACGCCGCGUGAGGGAUGACGGCCUUCGGGUUGUAAAGCUCUUUUACCCGGGAUGAUAAUGACAGUACCGGGAGAAUAAGCCCCGGCUAACUUCGUGCCAGCAGCCGCGGUAAUACGAAGGGGGCGAGCGUUGUUCGGAAUUACUGGGCGUAAAGGGCGCGUAGGCGGCGACCCAAGUCAAAUGUGAAAGUCCUGGGCUUAACCUGGGGACUGCAUUUGAUACUGGGUUGCUUGAAUUCGGGAGAGGAUAGCGGAAUUCCCAGUGUAGAGGUGAAAUUCGUAGAUAUUGGGAAGAACACCGGUGGCGAAGGCGGCUAUCUGGACCGACAUUGACGCUGAGGCGCGAAAGCGUGGGGAGCAAA
RNAcentral lists this ribosomal RNA (400 nucleotides) under uncultured bacterium. RNAcentral describes it as "bacterial SSU rRNA". It matches the Rfam family "Bacterial small subunit ribosomal RNA", at positions 355 to 772 of the family's 1533-position model. The record is from RNAcentral.